AUGGAGAAAAAGAAGGGUUUGCCAGCCUACUCAAUAUUUUCUAGGAUGACUAACAAAUUCCAAUUUGCAGAACUUCCUGGAAUGUUCCAUAUUCCAGGAAAACUGAGUCCUUCACAAACAGGGCAUCCGAUCGCCCUAGUACAUGGAGUGGCCGAAGCCAAGUCAUCUGAAGGAGAAGAGGACUUCCAUCAAGAUGAAUUACUAUUUUGGGAAGAAAAUAUCUAAGCACCUAAGAACAACAGUGUAUGCAAAAUAACACUGGUUGAUCUGCGACUGGGUUCUAGAAAUCCACGGAAUAUGGCAAACCAUUUCGCCAGGCCAAAAGUAUUUGUUAUAUUUCUCAUAGAUGCUGAUUAAGAAGACAUCAUUAAUGGAAAGACACAUUGAAGAGGAAUGAAGACAACGGUGGUUGAAAACAAGUUGUCCUCUGCCUGUAAUUCCAUUAUACCAUUAGCUGCAGAAUGCCAUAGCAUGCAGAGAUUUGGGGGACAGCCAGGAACAGAAGUAUGCAACAAUUGCCAGACAAACCUCAUCUAAAAAUUCACCUUCUCUCUUCUAAAGUGCAAACGCUUUAGCUUUCAAGGACAGCUGCACGUCUGUUUCAAUUUUCACAGUUCUUUUUGGGUUUAUAGCGCUCAGAAAAGGGAAAAAUAACAGAAGAUGGAAAGAGCCAAUGAGGGCAUGUGUGAGCUGCAGAAAUAACAGAUGUCUUGAAAAGAUAAAUGAUAAUCUGGGAGAAAACUGACAAGGUACUCAAAUGCAAGUCCAUAGUCACUUGUUUAUUCUCUCUGGCUACACAACCCAAUUAUCGCCAGAAUCAAGAAUGGAAAAUUUCUCAUGGUGUAUUUAAUAAUACGAGUUCAUGCAUAUUUAGUGUUAACACAGCCAUGUUUAUACUUCUAAUGAACUGCUCAAAGGUGGUACACUAAAAUAAGAAGUUGUGCCAAAUCUUUCACAGUGAGCAUUGGGCACCUUGCUACAGGUUUGCCAUCAUCUACUACCCUGUGUUUUAUAAUGUCUCAAUUUUCUGGCCUUUUUGUCUUAUGCAAAUGAUGCCAAAAUUUAGUUUGUUCUGAGAUUAGAGUAUCAUAUGAUCCCGGGAUAUGCCUGAAUUAAUAAACACAAAUGGAAAUGUUGAAGCUUCA
Molecule: long non-coding RNA, 1145 nt
Filed under: Oryctolagus cuniculus (rabbit)
Lineage: Eukaryota; Metazoa; Chordata; Mammalia; Lagomorpha; Leporidae
Description: lncRNA (ENSOCUG00000031795.1)
Source: RNAcentral